This is an RNA transcript of Pangasianodon hypophthalmus (striped catfish), 1927 nucleotides long. It is a transcript of the gene named butyrophilin subfamily 1 member A1, with no coding region annotated. NCBI's taxonomy places the organism in Eukaryota, Metazoa, Chordata, Actinopteri, Siluriformes, Pangasiidae. The transcript is spliced from 6 exons. The record is from RefSeq and is a predicted model, not a curated record.
GAAGAAGAAGAAAGAGACUCGCGCAGGCAUGGUUAGGUGAAGAUACAACAUUAAAUUAUGAAAUAGGCUAUAAUGUUGUUGUUUUUUUUGUGUGUGUGUGUGUAACUAAUUGAGUCUUCUAAAUGCAAUUUCUUUAUGAUCAUUAAGAGGCACAUCACUGGUGAAUUUGAAUUGUUAACUGUGAAUCUGAUCUCUGGAAACAGGAUGUGUAAAACCUACUUUGGGGCCUGUCUCUGGUCUGAUGCACGUGAUUGGAUAAACUGAAACCGAGGAUCUGCUACAGAAGCUGAACUGAUUCAUAUUUAGAAAACUCGAGUCCCUGAACUAUGGACUCUACUACUUAUACCUAAUACUUUGCUGGAUCUGAACUCGGAUCACGGACCACCAGUUAACAUCCCUAGGUUUAUCGUUUCGAUAACAACUCCUGCUCUCUAUACUGAUGAAAAAAUGAACACCAGAGACUAUUCUGGAAAACCACUUGUCUUUGUGUUUGCAUCUUGUGCUCUGUAAAGUGUGUUGGUUCGCGACCCAUACCUGCCCGAGAAGGUCUCUCAGCCAUCCUGCCAUGUAAAUUCAAUAACACUUCUGUCCAAACACCUCAUAUUCGGUGGUGCACUGAUUCUGAGGUAGUGGUUGAGCGAAGGGGUGCUGAGUUGUAUGAGGGAUCAGGAUAUGAGGGUCGUGUGGACGUUCCUGAGGACGAGCUGCACAAAGGAAACUGUUCCCUGGUGUUGAAGAGGGUCAGAAAGUCCGAUGAAGGAAUCUAUAAAUGCUACCUGUUACUGAGACGAGCAAAGAGAUCUGCUUCUCCAGAGUGGAGUUUGAUUCAGAGUGUUGAACUCUCAGUCGAUGUGCCAAAAGAAACACCAAAAAAGCCAACUGCCACAGAUAACGCCAGAGUGGACUGUCUUCACCCGCUGGUGAUGGCCGUGUCACUGCUCUCGUGUUUACUCUUUAGCAAGGAAACAUUGUGAGGAAAAAGCUUUACAGAAGCACAUGAAUGGGAAACUCGGGGGUAAAGUGAAACAUAUGGGUGACUUACUGUAACUGCUGAAGAAACGAGCACGUUGGACUGGCGUCCCAUCCGGGUGAAUUCUGCUGACUUGCACCCAGUCUUCCCGGGAUUGGCUCCAGAUCCAGAGCAACACUGACCUGGGGAAAGUGCUGACUGAAGAUGAGGGAAUUGAUGCUCAUUGCCAUGUAGCCUAUUUAUCAGUGACCAAGUUCACUACAAAACACUCUGUUUUCAAUAUGUAAUGGUUUAUAAUACUAAUUAAUGGUUGUACACUUGAGGCCAGAGGUUUACACACUCCUAAUUUAAUUUAUUUCCAUAAGAGGUCAUUUCAAAAUAAUAGCUAAGAGACGGAUUUAUUUCAGAUUUUAUUUACCAGAUCAGACUUUUACAUACACUUUGUUACUAGUUGCUGACAAUCGGUGUCAUUUAUCAAUCUUUUACUGAAUUAUGUGUAAAUGUUUGUGUAAGCCAGACUGAAAAAAAAAUUUCUGCCAGCCAGUAAUCCAUGCAAAUGAUAUUAUUUUAAUUUGCUCAAGUUGAGGUUUACAUUAGUCUUCUUAUUCACAAAUCUCAGGAGCACGAGGAGGAUAAAAUGUUUUUCUGAAACUAUAGGAUUUUCAUGAAUACUAAAUUUCUUGUGUAAAUGCAACAAUUUACAAAACAAUCUAAAUCACAAUCAGCAUUACUGAAGAGGAAAGCUUGGACAGGGACCGACACACUCACUGUUCAGUGCAAAUUGUUUACAUCAAGAGCGGUCCCUUAUAUAUUACUGAAAAUUAAUUAAAAAAAAAAAAUUAUUUAAAAAAUGGUCUUAAUAUUUUUUUAUGAAAUAAAAAUGUAUAAUGAUUAAUUAAUAAUUAAUUUAAAAACGGGUCUUAAUAUUUUUAUGAAAUAAAAAUAAAUAUUUUUUUA